UGCAAGGUAGAGCAAUUGGGAGCUUGUUGGGCUCAUAACCCGAAGGUUAUAGGUUCAAAUCCUAUCUUUGCAC
RNAcentral lists this transfer RNA (73 nucleotides) under Candidatus Vidania fulgoroideorum. Its description in RNAcentral is "tRNA-Met". It matches the Rfam family "tRNA". Rfam says of the family: Transfer RNA (tRNA) molecules are approximately 80 nucleotides in length. Their secondary structure includes four short double-helical elements and three loops (D, anti-codon, and T loops). The record is from RNAcentral. Lineage: Bacteria; Pseudomonadati; Pseudomonadota; Betaproteobacteria.